GCAGUAGCCGCGGGAAUACGUAGGGUGCAAGCGUUAAUCGGAAUUACUGGGCGUAAAGCGUGCGCAGGCGGUUAUAUAAGACAGAUGUGAAAUCCCCGGGCUCAACCUGGGAACUGCAUUUGUGACUGUAUAGCUAGAGUACGGCAGAGGGGGAUGGAAUUCCGCGUGUAGCAGUGAAAUGCGUAGAUAUGCGGAGGAACACCGAUGGCGAAGGCAAUCCCCUGGGCCUGUACUGACGCUCAUGCACGAAAGCGUGGGGAGCAAACAGGAUUAGAUACCCGAGUAGUCCCUGUCUCUUAUAC
Molecule: ribosomal RNA, 302 nt
Filed under: uncultured bacterium
Lineage: Bacteria
Description: partial 16S ribosomal RNA
Rfam family: Bacterial small subunit ribosomal RNA
Source: RNAcentral